Molecule: non-coding RNA, 243 nt
Organism: Camellia sinensis
Lineage: Eukaryota; Viridiplantae; Streptophyta; Magnoliopsida; Ericales; Theaceae
Source: RefSeq, a predicted model, not a curated record
AUUAUUUGGCAGUUAAGAAAAAAAACUUGUAAUGCAAACGGUGUGAUAUUUAAAAAAUCUCAUUGCAGGAGUGCCUGAAUGGUGAGUUUGUCAGGGUUGGUCCUAAUCCAAAGUUCACUCCUGUGGCUGGAUAUCACUGGUUUGAUGGAGAUGGCAUGAUUCAUGGUUUGCGCAUCAAGGACGGAAAAGCAACAUAUGUCUCCCGUUAUGUAAGGACGUCGCGUCUUAAACAAGAAGAGUUUU